GCCGACCGUUUAUAAAGUUUACCAAUUUCAAAGCAAAUGAAAAACUGGUGUAAAAUAGAUUCCGUUUAUUAUAACAGAAAUAAAUGUAUUGCAAUUUACAAUAAAUAGUAUUUAAAUAUUAUCAAUGUAUGUAAUUACCUAUAAAAUACCUAAUCUGAAAAGUUAUAUCUGAAGUUCGUAAAGCAGCUGAUCGUUAGCAUCCAAAUUUGAAACUGACUAUAGUUGACAUAGUUUACAAAGCGAAUACACAAAAAUAGAUAUUCCCUACUUCCGGUUAAUGGUUACAAUGUAAAUAUGAACGCUGUGUAGCAAAAGGCUACAAUUAUGAAAGAUUAUCGUUAUAAAUGAAUGUGUAAAAGGGCAAGAACAUUAAAGAUAAAGGGGAAACUAUAAACAGAAGAAAUUAUCAACAAAAUAAGAUUUACAGAGGUCAACAAAGUCUAAAUGGUCAGACAUCUUGAUUUUCAUGGUCAUCAUUCACAGAUCAAUACUGAACAGAAAACUUAAAGCUGAUAUUUUUCUCCAUAGUGCGACUUUUUUAUUAUUUUGAAAUGGAACGUGUUUUUUCCUACAUUUAUUUGAAAGAGGAAAUUUCAACAUGAUGACUAUAAACAAAAAGGAGUCAUAUCAUCACGAUCAUUGAUGCACAAGAACUUGAUCAUAUAAAUACAACAAUGUAAUUAUCAAUUGAAAGAUGGAACAAAUGAACAAAACAUUAGAAUGUUGUUGUCCAAAUAAACUUGCUUUGUUUUCUCAUUUGAAUCUCUCCAUUCAAUAAAGAUGUACAGAGGAAGAUCUUUGAAGAACAGAUUGAAAAAAUGUUUUGUCUAAGAAUUGCAGGAAUAUUCUAGUGAAUGAAAUUAUUUAUUGACUUCACU
This is a long non-coding RNA of Mytilus trossulus (common blue mussel), 878 nucleotides long. RefSeq lists it as uncharacterized. Lineage: Eukaryota; Metazoa; Mollusca; Bivalvia; Mytilida; Mytilidae. The record is from RefSeq and is a predicted model, not a curated record. The transcript is spliced from 3 exons.